RNAcentral lists this transfer RNA (71 nucleotides) under Cordylochernes scorpioides. Its description in RNAcentral is "tRNA-Gly". Lineage: Eukaryota; Metazoa; Arthropoda; Arachnida; Pseudoscorpiones; Chernetidae. The record is from RNAcentral.
UGCAUCGGCCGGGAAUCGAACCUGGUCCCGCCCGCGUGGCAGGCGAGCAUUCUACACUGAACCACCGAUGG